GGUACCUCUUCUACUCUUCCCUUUGAGUCGCUUCAUCCAGAUUCUUGGGGAAACGUUUUGGCUGUUUGAAAUGUGACGCUGCGUUAUAUUGUGAAUCUCAUCCAAUUCUGCCGACAGCUGGUCGUUCUCAUCAAGAAGGCAUCUGAAUCAGAUGAAUCGUCACAAUCAUAUACCCAUCCAUGGCUAUCAGAACAAGGCAGGACUUCUUUAUGGCUAUCAGAACAAGGCAGGACUUCUUUAUGGCUAUCGGUAUCGGAACAAGGCAGGACUUCUUUAUGGCUAUCAGAACAAGGCAGUACUUCUUUAUGGCUAUCAGAACAAGGUAGGACUUCUUUAUGGUGCUCGGAACAAGGCAGGACUUCCUCACCAAGCCGAAUGAGUGAUAAAGCUACAUCAUUUUCCCCUCCACAUCUAGACACACUCUCGGUGCAUUCAUUAUCACUUGCAUCUCCAUUCCGUGCAUCUUCUAUGUACCGAUCAACCUAUGUACAAGUCAUUAGGAAUGACAAAUUUAUUAGUAUAUCCAAAUAAACCGCGGAAAUAAUAUCUGCAAAUUCAAAUGAUGAAUGAUAUCAUCUCGUCACUUCCAACUCUACUACAAAGCAUAAUUAGGGCCUGUUUGGGAGGGAGAUUGUGCAUUGUGAUUGUGCAUUUUCCUAAUUUUUCCGUUUGGGAGGUGUACUGUGAGAAUGAAUUCUCUCACAAUGCAUUAUGAAAACUACACUUUAGAGGCACAAUCUGAGAAUCAGCCCUGGAGGAGCUUUUCCAUUGUCAUUUUGGAUUAUCUUCCCAAAUUCAUAAUCUAUUUUGGGCAUUAUCCUCAAAAUACUCAUUCAUAAUCUAUUUUGAGCAUUAUCCUCCCAAACACUACGAUAGAGACCCAUCAUUUAAAUUUUUUAACUUUUAACUUUUAUAUGUGAUUGAGCCUAUUAAUGUGGAUAAUGUUUUGGGGUCAAAGUGAAAUUGAAUAUUAGUGAUGGCAGUUGAUGAAGUGUUUUAGUGGUUGAGGGGUGUGAAGUGCAAUUUAACCUAUUUAUAUAAAAAAAAAAUCUGGACCAGGAGAACAUUUGUUUCCCCAUUUGUUUUUCUUCCCAGUACGUUCUCUCUCUCGUCUCUCACACACUCCCUCCCUCCCCCACUCUUGAAUCUUCUUUAACACUUCAAAUCCAUGAAAGCCCAACACAAAUUCAAGAUAUCCUCGUGACCUAGACCUUGGGAGUCGCGUGAUCAAGCUUGGAGGGAGUUUCCUUGGUGGGUUUCAAGCUUGGAACAUCUAGGGCUUGGUUGGAUCUUUGGUAGCCCAUUUAGGGCCCUAUCGGUAGCACCUGGGAAACUUUGGGGUGUGGAUUGUAAGGUACAAAUCAAGGAUCUAAGCAUGGAGUGUGUGAUGUGCAUUGAAGAACAUUUUUGAAAGCUCACAUAGAAGAGUUGCUUAGUCAUCUUGUGUAAAACCCGUUUUGAGAUGAGAAUGUAACCUUAUUAUUAAUUCUUUCGACUUAGGAGGAAUGUAAAGAUAGUAAGAUACUCAAAUUCUUUUCUCUUUUGAUACUUAUGGAAUAUAGUGGUAUGAUCCCUUGGAUGUACAUUUUGAAAAAACAUUGGUUUGUGGAAUGACAUGGGCAUGUCUGUUAUGGGUAUUACGUAUGGGGAUGAUGAUGAUGAUAUUU
Rhododendron vialii is the source of this 1667-nucleotide long non-coding RNA. RefSeq lists it as uncharacterized. Lineage: Eukaryota; Viridiplantae; Streptophyta; Magnoliopsida; Ericales; Ericaceae. The transcript is spliced from 4 exons. The record is from RefSeq and is a predicted model, not a curated record.